AAUUAAAAUUUAAAACAUUGCAAACAGAAAUUUGAUGUAUUAUGAAGUAUUUUGGUAUGAAAGCUUUGAUAAAAUUGAUCUUAGUUUUGAUUUCUAUCUUAAAGAUUUAUCAUUUUAUUUUAUACUAUGUCUAAUAAAAAAUAGAAAAAAUAGAAAAAAUAUCAAAACGUGUAUUUUACAAAAAAGCAUGUAAAUAUGGUCACUCUAGUGUAGCAUGUGAAAAUGUGACAAUAUAACUAUUUUCUAUUAAUAUUUCUAAUAAUUAUUUUAAAAAUCUUAAUAAAAAAGUAAGAUAGCAAUUAAUUUUGAUUAUGAAUUGAUGAUCAUGUUAUUAAUAAUAAUUUCACAUUUUUCAUAUUUCUAGCACAUUCAAAAGUAACAAUAAUUCAGAUACUAAACUUAUCAUCUAUUAUCAGUUAAACUUAAAAAUUGCACAAUAAUUUAUGUAUUUUAGAAUAUUUCUAUUAAUGCAUUCCCUCUAAAUUUUACUUGGCUUUACACAAAAUUUAACAUGAUUAAAAAAACAUCAACCAACAAUAUCCAAUCAAACUCCACUAACACACCAAUGCUUGUCAUUUUAUUUCUGAUAAAUCAGACAUAAUUAGAACAAAAAUAUCAUCAACCUCCAUCAACCAUUGAUACACUACAUCAAAAAACACACACUUCUCUAAUUAUUAUUUAUUCUUAAUAUUGAAAUC
RNAcentral lists this long non-coding RNA (698 nucleotides) under Physcomitrium patens. Its description in RNAcentral is "long non-coding RNA (PPAT_LNC011959)". The record is from RNAcentral. Lineage: Eukaryota; Viridiplantae; Streptophyta; Bryopsida; Funariales; Funariaceae.